UGGAGGAGCAGGGGUGAUGAUGUAGCUGACCUAUCAUGGAGGAGCAGGGUGAUGAUGUAGCUGACCUAUCAUGGAGGAGCAGGAUGAUGAUGUAGCUGACCUAUCAUGGAGGAGCAGGGGUGAAAAUGUAGCUGACCUAUCUUUGAGGAGCAGGGGUGGUGAUGUAGCUGACCUAUCAUGUAGGACCAGGAUGAUGUAGCUGACCUAUCAUGGAGGAGCAGGCUGAUGAUGUAGCUGACCUAUCAUGGAAGAGCAGGGUGAAGAUGUAGCUGACCUAUCAUGGAGGAGCAGGAGUGAUGAUGUAGCUGACCUAUCAUGGAGGAGCAGGGGUGAUGAUGUAGCUGACCUAUCAGGGAAGAGCAGGAGUGAUGAUGUAGCUGACCAAUCAUGGAGGAGCAGGAUGAUGAUGUAGCUGACCUAUCAUGGAUGAGCAGGAUGAUGAUGUAGCUGACCUGUCAUGGAGGAGCAGGAUGAUGUUGUAGCUAAUCUAUCAUGGAGUAGCAGGAUGAUGAUGUAGCUGACCUAUAAAGGAGGAGCAGGGUGAUGAUGUAGCUGACCUAUCAGGGAGGAGCAGGAGUCAUGAUGUAGCUGACCUAUCAUGGAGGAGCAGGAGUGAUGAUGUAGCUGACCUAUCAUGGAGGACGAGAAUGAAGUAGCUGACCAAUCAUGGAGGAGCAGGGGUGAUGAUGUUGCUGACCUAUCAUGGAUGAGCAGGGGUGAUGAUGUAGCUGACCUAUCAUGGAGGAGCAGAAUGAUGUAGCUGACCUAUCAUGGAGGAGAGGGGUGAUGAUGUAGCUGACCUAUCAUGGAGGAGCAGGAUAAUGAUGAAGCUGACCUAUCAUGGAGGAGCAGGGGUGAUGAUGUAGCUGACCUAUCAUGGAGGAGCAGGGGAGAUGAUGUAGCUGACCUAUCAUGGAGGAGCAGGAGUGAUGAUGUAGCUGACCUAUCAUGAAGGAGCAGGAUGAUGUAGCUGACCUAUCAUUGAGGAGCAGGGGUGAUAAUGUAGCUGACCUAUCAUGGAUGAGCAGGUCGAUGAUGUAGCUGACCUAUAAUGGAGGUGCAGGGGUGAUGAUGUAGCUGACCUAUCAUGGAGGAGCAGAAUGAUGUAGCUUACCUAUCAUGGAGGAGCAGGGGUGAUGAUGUAGCUGACCUAUCAUGGAGGAGCAGGGGUGAUGAUGUAGCUGACCUAUCACGGAGGAGCAGGGGUGAUGAUGUAGCUGACCUAUCACGGAGGAUCAGGGUGAUGAUGUAGCUGACCUAUCAUGGAGGAGCAGGGGUGAUGAUGCAACUGACCUAUCAUGGAGGAGCAGGGGUGAUGAUGUAGCUGACCUAUCAUGGAGGAGCAGGGUUGAUGAUGUAGCUGACCUAUCAUGGAGGAGCAGGGGUGAUGAUGUAGCUGACCUAUCAUGGAG
RNAcentral lists this long non-coding RNA (1412 nucleotides) under Salmo salar (Atlantic salmon). RNAcentral's name for it is "lncRNA (ENSSSAG00000114320.1)". Lineage: Eukaryota; Metazoa; Chordata; Actinopteri; Salmoniformes; Salmonidae. The record is from RNAcentral.